GGCCCUUUAGCUCAGUUGGUUAGAGCGGCGACUCAUAAUCCCCCGGUCGCUGGUUCAAGUCCAGCAAGGGCCA
RNAcentral lists this transfer RNA (73 nucleotides) under Yokenella regensburgei. Its description in RNAcentral is "tRNA-Met". It matches the Rfam family "tRNA". From Rfam's summary of the family: Transfer RNA (tRNA) molecules are approximately 80 nucleotides in length. Lineage: Bacteria; Pseudomonadati; Pseudomonadota; Gammaproteobacteria; Enterobacterales; Enterobacteriaceae. The record is from RNAcentral.